RNAcentral lists this transfer RNA (103 nucleotides) under Claviceps sp. Clav50 group G5. RNAcentral describes it as "tRNA-Leu". It matches the Rfam family "tRNA". Rfam says of the family: Transfer RNA (tRNA) molecules are approximately 80 nucleotides in length. Their secondary structure includes four short double-helical elements and three loops (D, anti-codon, and T loops). Lineage: Eukaryota; Fungi; Ascomycota; Sordariomycetes; Hypocreales; Clavicipitaceae. RNAcentral also lists the same sequence under 2 other names. The record is from RNAcentral.
GCGAGUCUGGCCGAGUGGUUAAGGCGUUGUGUUUAGGUACUUCCUCAUGAAAACUUGAACCGCAAUGGGCAUGCCCGCGUAGGUUCGAUCCCUACGGCUCGCA